This 253-nucleotide ribosomal RNA is filed under the name uncultured bacterium. Its description in RNAcentral is "partial 16S ribosomal RNA". It matches the Rfam family "Bacterial small subunit ribosomal RNA", at positions 524 to 776 of the family's 1533-position model. The record is from RNAcentral.
UACGUAGGUGGCAAGCGUUGUCCGGAUUUAUUGGGUUUAAAGGGUGCGUAGGCGGUCCUAUAAGUCAGUGCUGAAAUAUCCCGGCUUAACCGGGAGGGUGGCAUUGAUACUGCAGGACUUGAGUAAAGUUGAGGUAGGCGGAAUUGACGGUGUAGCGGUGAAAUGCUUAGAUAUCGUCAAGAACACCUAUUGCGAAGGCAGCUAACUAAGCUUUAACUGACGCUGAGGCACGAAAGUGUGGGGAUCAAACAGG